CAAACUGGAGAUGGCGACCGGCGCACGGUGAGUAACACGUAUCCAACCUGCCGAUAACUCGGGGAUAGCCUUUCGAAAGAAAGAUUAAUACCCGAUGGCAUAAUAGAACCGCAUGGUUUGAUUAUUAAAGAAUUUCGGUUAUCGAUGGGGAUGCGUUCCAUUAGGUUGUUGGCGGGGUAACGGCCCACCAAGCCUUCGAUGGAUAGGGGUUCUGAGAGGAAGGUCCCCCACAUUGGAACUGAGACACGGUCCAAACUCCUACGGGAGGCAGCAUG
Molecule: ribosomal RNA, 275 nt
Filed under: uncultured bacterium
Lineage: Bacteria
Description: partial 16S ribosomal RNA
Rfam family: Bacterial small subunit ribosomal RNA
Source: RNAcentral